RNAcentral lists this ribosomal RNA (1444 nucleotides) under uncultured archaeon. RNAcentral describes it as "bacterial SSU rRNA". It matches the Rfam family "Archaeal small subunit ribosomal RNA". The record is from RNAcentral.
UCCGGUUGAUCCCGCCGGAGGUCACUGCUAUUGGGGUUCGACUAAGCCAUGCGAGUCAAUAGUUCUUCGUGAACUAGGCGGACGGCUCAGUAACACGUGGGUAAUCUACCCUCAGGACAGGGAUAACCCCGGGAAACUGGGGAUAAUACCUGAUAGGGGGAGAGGUCUGGAAUGAUCCUCCUCUCAAAGCCUCGGCACCUGAGGAUGAGCCUGCGGCCGAUUAGGUUGUUGGCGGUGUAACGGACCACCAAGCCGAAGAUCGGUACGGGCACUGAGAGGUGGAGCCCGGAGAUGGGGGCUGAGAAACGGCCCCAGGCCCUACGGGGUGCAGCAGGCGCGAAAACUCCGCAAUACGCGAAAGCGUGACGGGGGGACCCCAAGUGUCAUGCCUUUGGGUAUGACUUUUGCAGAGUGUAAAAAGCUCUGCGAAUAAGAGCUGGGUAAGACCGGUGCCAGCCGCCGCGGUAACACCGGCAGCUCGAGUGGUGGCCGCUAUUAUUGGGCCUAAAGCGUCCGUAGCCGGCUCGGUAAGUCCUUGGGAAAAUCCGCUCGUUCAACGGACGGGACCCUGAGGAUACUGCCGAACUUGGGAACGAGAGAAGUCGGAAGUACUCCUGGGGUAGCGGUGAAAUGCUGUAAUCCUAGGGGGACUACCAGUGGCGAAGGCGUCCGACUAGAGCGGGUCCGACGGUGAGGGACGAAAGCCAGGGGAGCGAACGGGAUUAGAUACCCCGGUAGUCCUGGCCGUAAACGCUGUGGGCUAGGUGUUGCACGCUCUACGGGGGCGUGCAGUGCCGAAGAGAAGUUGAUAAGCCUACCGCCUGGGAAGUACCGUCGCAAGGCGGAAACUUAAAGGAAUUGGCGGGGGAGCACCACAAGGGGUGAAGUCUGCGGUUCAAUUGGAUUCAACGCCGGAAAUCUCACCGGGGGCGACGGCAGGAUGAAGGCCAAGCUAACGACUUUGCUGGACGAGCCGAGAGGAGGUGCAUGGCCGUCGUCAGCUCGUACCGUGAGGCGUCCUGUUAAGUCAGGCGACGAGCGAGGCCCGUGCCCUUAGUUGUCAGCGAAUCCCUGCGGGGAUGACGGUCACACUAGGGGGACCGCUUGCGACAAGCAAGAGGAAGGAGCGAGCGACGAUAGGUCAGUAUGCCCCGAAUCUCCCGGGCUACACGCGGACUGCAAUGGCCGGGACAAAAGGUCCCGACUUCGAAAGAAGGAGGAAAUCCUCAAACCCGGUCGUAGUUCGGAUUGAGGGCUGAAAUUCGCCCUCAUGAAGCCGGAAUCCCUAGUAAUCGCGUGUCAUUAUCGCGCGGUGAAUAUGUCCCUGCUCCUUGCACACACCGCCCGUCACACCACCCGAGUGAGGUCGAGGCAAGGCGCUGCUCUUUGGGUAGUGUCGAGUCUGGGUUUCGCAAGGGGGGUGAAGUCGUAACAAGGUAACCGU